CCCAGUCCUCUAUUUAAUGAACUGAUGAAUAAGACACCUAUUGAAGAUCAACUGUUUACCCCUGAAUUGACUUUCAAAGACCAUGCAUUGUCCAGAUUGGCAUCUGAUGACUUCCUGGAAUAUUUAAUUAUUUUCUAUUAAAUAUAUGUUUAUUUUUAACAGAUUCUAAUAUAUAUCAAUAUAAUCUGUAAAUAAAUCAAACUUGGACUCCCAUGA
This is a long non-coding RNA of Bombina bombina (fire-bellied toad), 216 nucleotides long. RefSeq lists it as uncharacterized. The record is from RefSeq and is a predicted model, not a curated record. The transcript has 2 exons. NCBI's taxonomy places the organism in Eukaryota, Metazoa, Chordata, Amphibia, Anura, Bombinatoridae.